This is a non-coding RNA of Paramisgurnus dabryanus, 1313 nucleotides long. The record is from RefSeq and is a predicted model, not a curated record. Lineage: Eukaryota; Metazoa; Chordata; Actinopteri; Cypriniformes; Cobitidae.
AAAUAUAUUUUUAGUAUCUACACUGUUUAGGACUUACAGGUGUAUAAAAUUAAUGGAUUCUACUUCUAAGGAUAAUGUCAAUGGCCAAUCAGUUUGUUUCUUUAUAAUCUGUUUUAUUAAAGCAUUCUUAUUUGCUGUCAUCAUCUGCAUGACAUAGAUAACCAUCCAGUAACUGGACUGUUAACAUUAGGGUUUGGGAAAUUAAAGUGUUGUAGUUUUUCUCUUUAGCUAUAAUGUUUUUUGUGUAAGGUUGCUGUUAGUGCAUAAACAAUACCUGCAGAAUUAUAAAGCUUAAAGUUCAAUGCCAAGCGAUAUGUUUCCUUUAACAGGAUUCCCCUUUCAAAACAGGAAAAAUGGGACCUUUAAACAGAGAGCUUGCACCAUUUCAAACUGGUAACCAGACUGUGCCACUAGCCUUGGGACAAGUUGGAAUUUUGUAUAUAUGUAUAUUAUAUAUAAAUGUUGCUUUGUGUUGUUUUUAUCCUCUAAAGCUGAUCACAUUCGGAACACUGAUCCUCCCAAUGCUCCUGACACUCAUUGUGAGGUGGCCUUUGCUCCAGAGACUGUUGAGUGCAUUCACUGAACGAUUUCUCAGGUGACGAGGCAUCACCUCCUGGAACCCCAAGAGAUCCUCUUCUGGCUUCCUCAAACUGGAGAACACGUCAAAGUCUCUUCAGAGAGGUGGAGGGCAGAGAGAGCCCAUCUGGUGAACACGGCUGUUGCACAAGAAAAUGUGGUAUCACACAUCUGCCUAAUGCGGCUUGUACCCGUGGAAAUGCCUGACAAAAUCUGUGGUUGUUCACCAGAGUGAAGAACUUUGUUUUGUUCUGUUAUAGUGGAAUCUUAAAAAUCUUUACAUACUUGAUUUCCAAUAAUUUAGCAUUGAUACAACAUUUAAGUAUGAAAAGUAGAAAGAAAUGUAUAAAUUGUACAAAGAAAUCAAACACUAAUUAAUCUAAUUAAGGUUUAUAUUACAGGGAAUGUGCAGUGGGAGACUUAAACAGAAGUGGGUACUGGCCUGCAACCCUUCAAUUCACCACAAUUUAUGCCAUAGAUAUCUUGUUUUCAUUUCAAGAGAUGAAGAUGGCGGCACCAGGACUGUCCUGUCAAGCAUUUUUUAAGAAUGCUGGAUCAGCGAACUGUCUGCUUUGGUCGUACUGGCAAGAUCUCAGCAGACAGUUUUCAGAAAAGUUUUUUUGAGUGGGAGGCUGUGCGAUUCAAGGUGGACAAUAUUAGCAAGGAAGAGCCUUUCAUCUGCCCUGCAUGCACCCCAGAGAUGCUUGCAGUUCAGUAGAUCAUUUCAAGAAUACUGC